CUACGGGAGGCAGCAGUGAGGAAUAUUGCACAAUGGGGGGAACCCUGAUGCAGCAACGCCGCGUGGAGGAUGACGCAUUUCGGUGUGUAAACUCCUUUUAUAUGUCAAGAAAAUGACGGUAGCAUAUGAAUAAGCACCGGCUAACUCCGUGCCAGCAGCCGCGGUAAUACGGAGGGUGCAAGCGUUACUCGGAAUCACUGGGCGUAAAGGACGCGUAGGCGGGUUGGAAAGUCAGGUGUGAAAUCCUACAGCUUAACUGUAGAACUGCGCUUGAAACUUCUAAUCUAGAGGAUGGGAGGGGGAGAUGGAAUUAGUGGUGUAGGGGUAAAAUCCGUAGAUAUCACUAGGAAUACCUAAAGCGAAGGCGAUCUCCUGGAACAUUACUGACGCUAAGGCGUGAAAGCGUGGGGAGCAAACAGGAUUAGAUACCCCGGUAGUC
RNAcentral lists this ribosomal RNA (439 nucleotides) under uncultured bacterium. RNAcentral's name for it is "partial 16S ribosomal RNA". It matches the Rfam family "Bacterial small subunit ribosomal RNA", at positions 339 to 795 of the family's 1533-position model. The record is from RNAcentral.